UGGGGAAUAUUGCGCAAUGGGCGAAAGCCUGACGCAGCGACGCCGCGUGGGUGAUGAAGGCCUUCGGGUCGUAAAGCCCUGUCGGGGGGGAAGAAGCAUUCCGAGCCUAAUACGCUCGGGAAUUGACGGUACCUCCUAAGGAAGCACCGGCUAACUCCGUGCCAGCAGCCGCGGUAAUACGGAGGGUGCUAGCGUUGUUCGGAAUCACUGGGCGUAAAGGGCGUGUAGGCGGUCUGCUAAGUCUGAUGUGAAAUCCCCUCGCUCAACGAGGGAACUGCGUCGGAUACUGGCAGACUCGAGUACCGGAGAGGAAGGUGGAAUUCCCGGUGUAGCGGUGAAAUGCGUAGAUAUCGGGAGGAACAUCGGUGGCGAAGGCGGCCUUCUGGACGGAUACUGACGCUGAGACGCGAAAGCGUGGGGAGCAAACAGG
RNAcentral lists this ribosomal RNA (430 nucleotides) under uncultured bacterium. RNAcentral's name for it is "bacterial SSU rRNA". It matches the Rfam family "Bacterial small subunit ribosomal RNA", at positions 355 to 776 of the family's 1533-position model. The record is from RNAcentral.